GUGGUAGCAACUUAGUUUCCAGAAAUGGGAGUGAGUGUUGGUGCAGGGAUGCGCAUAUUUUUAGAAACAAUUCUAGUAAGAAAGCACUUCAGAAGUGGGUGCAAGUUCAUGAUUCGGAAAAGAUUCCCAAGCAGGUGUAUUAUCCUAGGUAUAAGGAUUUGGCUACUAAGGUUAGCAAUACAUUUUGAGUGUCGUAGUAAUUAACUAUUAAUCCUCGUGAUUCAUGCCUCAUGUACAGUAGCAUCUUAAAGGCAAUUCUGUAUGAAUAUCUUUAUGUAACAUGUGUCUCAAACAACGUCAGUGGAACCGUCCCGAACCAGGCGGUUCGGGCUGUUCUGCGUCGUACCGGUGGCUCACCGGUACUACUUCGGCAAUGAAAACGGAAUCCGUUGCCGAAGGCAAAGAAGGAGAAGAAAAAGAAAGUGAGAGAGAGAGCAGGGGAGGGAGGGAGGCCAGUGGAGGAUGGCGGAGGCCGGCGCCAGGCCCUUUCGCGAUUUACACGGCCGUUUUCCUGUUUCGUUCGAAAUAGGGGUCGGCCACUUUUUAAUUUGGCGAUUCGUAAGUAACGUUUCAAUACAAUCUUAACAUUUUAUCUCCACUUUUUCCAACUAAUCUGCAAAUAAUACUUCAAAGUAUAGGGAUAAGCAUAAAUUCUCCAUUGCAAGAGGAUUAAAAAAAUAUAUUUUUUGUUGAAAUGACUAUCAACAUGUAUGGUGAGUAACUACGCACAUGAAUAAGUCAAGCAAUACCAACAUAUUUAAGAGCAAAGAAUAUUAUGGAUGGUUGUAAUGAGCUAAAUACAUAUCUAAUUCAAACAGGUCAGCCCGGUGCAUGAGGAUCCCACCAUUGUGGGUUCAGGGGAGGGUUAGAUGUAUGCAACCUUAGCCCACGAGUAGAGUGGUUGUUUCUGUGUCACAUAUCAAAUCCAAAAAAGGUUGUAUAGAAAUUCUUGGAGAAGUGUUGGGCACACCAUUUGAUAGCAAUAUGAAAUGUGUAUAGGUGUCUGAAGAAUAAAAACAUACAAGUAAAACAGACUGCCACUACCUCUGCAAAGAUAAGUAGGAAGACAAAGAAAACAAAAGCAGAUAAAGCAGUAGCAUAAAUAGUUGAAUGGUUGUAUUAAAUAUUAACGAUAUUAAGCACAUUAUCAAGGAAAAGUCAAAGUGGACAUCCUUAUUUAAUACCAGCUCCAGUGAAAUUUAUAUGCUCAUACAACUUCUGCAUAAAAGAGGCUCUGAAAAAGAAGCAACUUAAAGUUGUCACAAACCCUGGUCAGCUUCUCAGCUAGCAGUAUUAGAAGAGAAGUGCAGAGAAACCUAUUUAUGGAACUAGGAUGGUAUAGCAACGUGCAAUUUGGUCCAGAGGACAGUUUUGGAUAUUUUUCCAGUUGUCUUCUAUGACCUCAUUGCACAUAAAAGAAGGAAGAGAAUAGACAACAGGGGAGGAAAAAGGAAUCUGUGCAAGACCGAAACUUUUUACUGAAGUAAAAAAGAAGCAGAAAAUAUAUUAAAGAAAAAAAAAUAUGUGGCUAGAAGCAAGUAGAUUCAAAACCCUUAAAAAUGUAAUAAAUUCUAAACCCCAGAGUACAAUCCCGAAUCUUGAACAACCAAAAUAGAAGACUUGAGAAUUUGG
RNAcentral lists this long non-coding RNA (1632 nucleotides) under Phoenix dactylifera (date palm). Its description in RNAcentral is "long non-coding RNA (PDAC_LNC013121)". Lineage: Eukaryota; Viridiplantae; Streptophyta; Magnoliopsida; Arecales; Arecaceae. The record is from RNAcentral.